UUCAAAGAACUUUGAAGAGAGAGUUCAAGAGGACGUGAAACUGCUUGGAAGGAAACGGGUAGAGUUACUGAUAGUGUCAGUAAAUCAGGCGCCUGUACUGGUGCUCGCCGCUGAUGCAUUGUGUGAAAACGCGUGUUCAUCAGUGGCUGUGAGUAUUGUAUUUAGGUGCUGCACUUUAUUGACAUGCGCGCGCCGAGUGCACAUGGGCCGUCUCGUGUUUUGUGCUAAUGUUAGACGGGGGUUCGCGUGCCGUUCCUACCAGCAUUGGCGGUAAUGAGCUUGAGUGACGUCUGUGUGUGUUUGUUUCAAUGAUGCCGGCAGUGUGCGACUGUGUCGCAUUUGGUCAGUGGCAAUGACGGUGACGAGCGUUAAUACGCAAAUUGUCGUAAUGCGCUGCUGCCGAUGCGCUUUCAAACUGUCGUUGGUGUCAUAGCUCGGUGUACAAGGUGAUCGCCUACCCGACCCGUCUUGAAACACGGAUCGCGGAGUUUUUAUUGUACGCAAGUCAUUGAGUUUAUUUUUACGCGACACUCAAAGGCGAAAUGAAAGUGAAGCCAGCUAGCUGGUUGACACACCAUCCGUCGGCUAUGUGCCGGCGGCGCAGUGUGGCCCUGUCCAAACCGCUUGCAGAUGGGCAGAGGUAGAGCGUACAGUGAGAGACCCGAAAGAUGGUGAACUAUGCCCGAUUAGAACGAAGUCAGAGGAAACUCUGAUGGAGGUUCGAAGGAGUUCUAACGUGCAAAUUGAUUCUCUAAAUUGGGUAUAGGGGCGAAAGACUAAUCGAACCGUCUAGUA
Molecule: ribosomal RNA, 795 nt
Filed under: Gammarinema scyllae
Lineage: Eukaryota; Metazoa; Nematoda; Chromadorea; Monhysterida; Monhysteridae
Description: partial large subunit ribosomal RNA
Rfam family: Eukaryotic large subunit ribosomal RNA
Source: RNAcentral